AGGGCUAUAGCUCAGUUGGUAGAGCACCUCGUUUACAGUUUACACACCGAGAAAGUCUACGGUUCGAGUCCGUAUAGCCCUA
This 82-nucleotide transfer RNA is filed under the name Hoya pottsii. RNAcentral's name for it is "tRNA-Val". It matches the Rfam family "tRNA". Rfam says of the family: Transfer RNA (tRNA) molecules are approximately 80 nucleotides in length. Their secondary structure includes four short double-helical elements and three loops (D, anti-codon, and T loops). Further hydrogen bonds mediate the characteristic L-shaped molecular structure. tRNAs have two regions of fundamental functional importance: the anti-codon, which is responsible for specific mRNA codon recognition, and the 3' end, to which the tRNAs corresponding amino acid is attached (by aminoacyl-tRNA synthetases). tRNAs cope with the degeneracy of the genetic code in two manners: having more than one tRNA (with a specific anti-codon) for a particular amino acid; and 'wobble' base-pairing, i.e. permitting non-standard base-pairing at the 3rd anti-codon position. Lineage: Eukaryota; Viridiplantae; Streptophyta; Magnoliopsida; Gentianales; Apocynaceae. The record is from RNAcentral.